UGAGGAACCUGCCCUGUAGACUGGAAUAACCAUGGGGAACUGUGGCUAAUGCCGGAUAGGACCGUUCACCGCAUGGUGAGGGGUGGAAAUGGGUUUCCGCUACGGGAUGGCCUCGCGGCCUAUCAGCUUGUUGGUGUGGUGAUGGCCUACCAAGGCGACGACGGGUAGCUGGCGUGAGAGCGCGACCAGCCACACUGGGACUGAGACACGGCCCAGACUCCUACGGGAGCAG
RNAcentral lists this ribosomal RNA (232 nucleotides) under uncultured bacterium. RNAcentral's name for it is "partial 16S ribosomal RNA". It matches the Rfam family "Bacterial small subunit ribosomal RNA", at positions 118 to 347 of the family's 1533-position model. The record is from RNAcentral.